GUCCUUUAGAAUUUAUUAUUUAAGGUCUAACCUGCCCACUGAAUUAUUUUAAAUGGCCGCAGUAAAUUGACUGUGCAAAGGUAGCAUAAUCAUUAGUUUUUUAAUUAAAAGCUUGUAUGAAUGGUUUGACGAAAUAAAAUCUGUCUCUAAAUAAUAAUAAGAAUUUAAUUUUUAAGUUAAAAAGCUUAAAUUUUAAUAAAAGACGAGAAGACCCUAUAGAUUUUUAUAUUAAAAUUAUUAAUUUUAUUUAGGAUUUUUUUUAUAAUUAUUAGUUUUAUUAUUAUAUUGGGGUAAUAGGAAGAUUAAAAAAAUUCUUUUUAAUUUUAUACAAUAAUAAUUGUUUAAAUGAUCCUUAAUUUGAGAUAAUAAGAUUAAGUUACCUUAGGGAUAACAGCGUAAUUUUUUUAAAGAGUUCAUAUCGAUAAAAAAGUUUGCGACCUCGAUGUUGGAUUAAAAAUUAUUCUAGGUGUAGAAGUUUAGAAAUUUUGGUCUGUUCGACCAUUAAAUUUUU
Molecule: ribosomal RNA, 511 nt
Filed under: Nebrioporus dubius
Lineage: Eukaryota; Metazoa; Arthropoda; Insecta; Coleoptera; Dytiscidae
Description: partial 16S ribosomal RNA
Rfam family: Bacterial large subunit ribosomal RNA (bases 387-511)
Source: RNAcentral